This 685-nucleotide unclassified non-coding RNA is filed under the name Hevea brasiliensis (rubber tree). The record is from RNAcentral. Lineage: Eukaryota; Viridiplantae; Streptophyta; Magnoliopsida; Malpighiales; Euphorbiaceae.
AUGGGAUCCACUGAUAGGCUGGUGACACUGUCUGGAACCAUAGAGGAACAGAUGCGAGCUACUGACUUAAUUGUCUCAAAACUAUCUGAAGACCCACAUUACACCCAGUCAAUGAAUUAUCCAUUUUCAUAUCCGACCUCAUACAAUGCUAUGAACUACGGAUCCAAUGGAGGAACUGGAGGGAGGUUUCAAAGCAACAAGGAGGAACGGAAUAACUCCUUGACUAUUGGUGUUUCAGACGGCCACAUCGGCUUAGUUGUUGGUCGUGGUGGAAGGAACAUACUGGAAAUUAGUCAGGCUAGUGGGGCCAGAAUUAAGAUAUCUGAUAGGGGAGAUUUCAUGUCCGGAACCACUGACAGGAAAGUAACAAUUACGGGGUCACAAAGGGCAAUCCGUGCCGCUGAAUCGAUGAUUCUACAGAAAGUAGCAUAUGCUUCUGAGAGGGUUCUAGCACAGUGAUAGAUUGGCUGAACGUUCGUGUUAGAAGCAAGGCCGGGAGAUUUUCAUUUUUACUAUUGAGGGAGAGAGCGUGUCGAUGGCAAUGGGCGGAUAAAUAGAGUUCGGAUUUCACGAAGCGUCAAGAAGAUAUAUGCCAACAUUUGAUUGAGCCAAAUAGAAAGAUUAGCAAUUUCAAAUUUGUUUAUACAAUUGUAGCCUUGAAUUUAUUUUUAUAUUUAUGUUUGAG